Labeo rohita (rohu) is the source of this 505-nucleotide non-coding RNA. The record is from the annotation of a RefSeq genome assembly. Lineage: Eukaryota; Metazoa; Chordata; Actinopteri; Cypriniformes; Cyprinidae.
CAACAACCUUCAUCAACAUGACCUUCAUCAUCAUCUUCAUCUGGACACUUUCAUACUGCUUUAUACUACAAGGGUGUAAAGCUCAGAUCACAGUCACUCAGACUCCAGUGAAAACUGCCAGACCAGGAGAAAAUGUUGAGAUGAGCUGUAAACUCAGUACUGCUCCAGCUUGCACCCCACCAUGUGUGGCCUGGUACUUACAGAAACCUGGAGAAGCUCCUAAACUCCUGAUUCGUCGUGUAAACACUCGCCAGUCAGGAACUCCAUCUAGAUUCAGUGGCAGUGGAUCUAACAGUGAUUUCACUCUGACCAUCAGUGGAGUCCAGACUGAAGAUGCUGGACAUUAUUACUGUCAGAGUUACCACAGUGGUGAUGUGUUCACACAGUGAUAAAGAGUCGUACAAAAACCUCCGUCAGUCAGAGUCACAGUGACUGAACUGAUUCUGCAGCUGCUCAAACACUAUCACUCACUACUGACACACAGAGACCAAACACAGGAACUACA